RNAcentral lists this ribosomal RNA (420 nucleotides) under uncultured microorganism. RNAcentral describes it as "bacterial SSU rRNA". It matches the Rfam family "Bacterial small subunit ribosomal RNA", at positions 9 to 407 of the family's 1533-position model. The record is from RNAcentral.
GAGUUUGAUCGUGGCUCAGGAUGAACGCUGGCGGCGUGCCUAACACAUGCAAGUCGAACGGAGUUCUUAAGGAAUGCGGCUUCGGCCAAAUGACUUUUGAACUUAGUGGCGGACGGGUGAGUAACGCGUGAGCAACCUGCCUUUCAGAGGGGGAUAACAUUUGGAAACAGAUGCUAAUACCGCAUAAGAUUACAGUACCGCAUGAUACAGUGAUCAAAGGAGCAAUCCGCUGAAAGAUGGGCUCGCGUCCGAUUAGAUAGUUGGUGAGGUAACGGCGUCACCAAGUCGACGAUCGGUAGCCGGACUGAGAGGUUGAACGGCCACAUUGGGACUGAGACACGGCCCAGACUCCUACGGGAGGCAGCAGUGGGGAACAUUGCACAAUGGGCGAAAGCCUGAUGCAGCAACGCCGCGUGAGGG